CAGUCGCCGGGUAAUACAGAGGGUGCGAGCGUUAAUCGGAUUUACUGGGCGUAAAGCGUGCGUAGGCGGCUUCUUAAGUCGGAUGUGAAAUCCCUGAGCUUAACUUAGGAAUUGCAUUCGAUACUGGGAAGCUAGAGUAUGGGAGAGGAUGGUAGAAUUCCAGGUGUAGCGGUGAAAUGCGUAGAGAUCUGGAGGAAUACCGAUGGCGAAGGCAGCCAUCUGGCCUAAUACUGACGCUGAGGUACGAAAGCAUGGGGAGCAAACAGGAUUAGAUACCCGGGUAGUCCCUGUCUCUUAUACU
RNAcentral lists this ribosomal RNA (301 nucleotides) under uncultured bacterium. RNAcentral's name for it is "partial 16S ribosomal RNA". It matches the Rfam family "Bacterial small subunit ribosomal RNA", at positions 512 to 810 of the family's 1533-position model. The record is from RNAcentral.